AAUGGGGGCAACCCUGAUCCAGCGAUGCCGCGUGAGUGAUGAAGGCCUUAGGGUUGUAAAACUCUUUCAGGUGGGAAGAUAAUGACGGUACCACCAGAAGAAGCUCCGGCUAACUCCGUGCCAGCAGCCGCGGUAAUACGGAGGGAGCUAGCGUUGUUCGGAAUUACUGGGCGUAAAGCGUACGUAGGCGGCUUGGCAAGUAGAGGGUGAAAUCCCGGAGCUCAACUCCGGAACUGCCCCCUAAACUGCUGAGCUAGAAUCCUGGAGAGGUGAGCGGAAUUCCUAGUGUAGAGGUGAAAUUCGUAGAUAUUAGGAAGAACACCAGUGGCGAAGGCGGCUCACUGGACAGGUACUGACGCUGAGGUACGAAAGCGUGGGGAGCAAACAGGAUU
This 392-nucleotide ribosomal RNA is filed under the name uncultured Alphaproteobacteria bacterium. Its description in RNAcentral is "bacterial SSU rRNA". It matches the Rfam family "Bacterial small subunit ribosomal RNA", at positions 370 to 779 of the family's 1533-position model. Lineage: Bacteria; Pseudomonadati; Pseudomonadota; Alphaproteobacteria. The record is from RNAcentral.